UGUGCCAGCAGCCGCGGUAAUUCCAGCUCCAAUAGCGUAUAUUAAAGUUGUUGCGGUUAAAAAGCUCGUAGUUGGAUUUCUGUUGAGGACGACCGGUCCGUACCAUGUACGCGCAUCUGGCUCGGCCUCGGCAUCCUCUCGAUAGACGUUUCUGCGCUUGAUUGCGUGGAACGGAUUUCGGGACUUUUACUUUGAGGAAAUUAGAGUGUUCACGGCAGGCUAUCGCCAGAAUACAUUAGCAUGGAAUAAUAUUAUAGGAUCUCGGUUCUAUUUUGUUGGUUUCUAGACCCGGGGUAAUGAUUAAUAGGGACAAUUGGGGGCAUUUGUAUCAACACGUCAGAGGUGGAAUUCUUGGAUUGUGUUGCGACAAACUACUGCGAAAGCAUUUGCCAAGGAUGUUUUCAUUGAUCAAGAACGAAAGUAAGGGGAUCGAAGACGAUUAGAUACCGUCGUAGUCUUUACCAUAAACUAUGCCAACUAGAGAUGGGGCAUCGUUCACUUACGACUUGCUCCGCAUCUUAUGAGAUAUCAAAGUCUUUGGGUUCCGGGGGGAGUAUGGUCGCAAGUCUGAAACUUAAAGGAAUUGACGGAAGGGCACCACCAGGAGUGGAGCCUGCGGCUUAAUUUGACUCAACACGGGGAAACUCACCAGGUCCAGACAUAAUAAGGAUUGACAGAUUGAUAGCUCUUUCUUGAUUUUAUGGGUGGUGGUGCAUGGCCGUUCUUAGUUCGUGGAGUGAUUUGUCUGCUUAAUUGCGUUAACGAACGAGACCCCCGCCUGCUAAAUAGUGUCGGUAAUGCUUCUGCAUUGCCGUUUCUACUUCUUAGAGGGACUUUCGGUGACUAACCGAAGGAAGUUGGGGGCAAUAACAGGUCUGUGAUGCCCAA
RNAcentral lists this ribosomal RNA (888 nucleotides) under uncultured eukaryote. Its description in RNAcentral is "bacterial SSU rRNA". It matches the Rfam family "Eukaryotic small subunit ribosomal RNA", at positions 563 to 1474 of the family's 1831-position model. The record is from RNAcentral.